GGGCAAUUAGCUCAGUUGGUAGAGCGUUCGCUUUGCACCUCCAAAGCCUGCGAAAGGUCGGGAUUUCGAUUAUCCCAUUGUCCA
Molecule: non-coding RNA, 84 nt
Organism: Onygenales sp. PD_40
Lineage: Eukaryota; Fungi; Ascomycota; Eurotiomycetes; Onygenales
Source: the annotation of a GenBank genome assembly